AAUGAACGCUGGCGGCAUGCCUAACACAUGCAAGUCGAACGGCAGCACAGUAAGCUUUUGCUCUUACUGGUUGCGAGUGGCGGACGGGUGACGAAUGCAUCGGACUCUUCUUUUUCGUGGGGGAUUACGUAGGGCAAUCUACGCUAAUACCGCAUAUUAUGUACCGUUUAGAUCAUGGGAUCUUCGCGCCUUUCGUGAUUGUAUUAGCUGAUUCCGGAUUAGCUAGUUGGGUGGGUAAAGGCCCACCAAGGCAACGAUCCGUAGCUGGUCUGAGAGGAUGAUCGGCCACACUGGAACUGAGACACGGUCCAGACUCCUACGGGAGGCAGCAGUAGGGAAUAUUGGGCAAUGGGCGAAAGCCUGACCCAGCCAGACCGCGUGAGUGAAGAAGGCCUUCGGGUUGUAAAGCCCUUUUGUUGGGAAAGAACAGCAGUAGAAUAAAACCUCGCUGUUCUGACGGUACCCAAAGAAUAAGCACCGGCUAACUACGUG
Molecule: ribosomal RNA, 492 nt
Filed under: uncultured bacterium
Lineage: Bacteria
Description: partial 16S ribosomal RNA
Rfam family: Bacterial small subunit ribosomal RNA
Source: RNAcentral